GCGUGCCGUGCACAGGAUUGCAGUCGACCGCGCGUCAGGCGUCAAUCGGCCAGAGCGGCGCCAGCCCGCCCGCCCUCCUUUGCAAAGUGAGCCGCAGAGUCGAGGGUCGCUGCUGCUGCUGCCGCUGCCCGGUUCCUUUUUUAACUCAGAGGGGAGUUCCAUGGCGGCGGGACUUACACCUAAGCAACUGCGCCUGCGCCUCAGCCCGAUCCGGUGUCUGCUUACUCACGAUUAAACCUCACUUAAUUCAGCGGGACUGACUGCUGAGUUAUCACGCAGGGGCUUAUAACCCGAUCCUCACUACGUUUGCUCAGGAGUCAGUUCCACCACAACAAGUCCUGCCAAAUUUGGCGGCGAUGGUGGGUGGCAACGGUUACAAACUGCGUUGGUGCUGGCUAAACCAACGAGCCAGCAAAACGGGGGAACUACAGACCAGAGCGAAGCCGCAGUAGUGGCAGCCGCCAUUGGACACGACCAUUUAUUUUCCCUUAAGGUGGCUCCACCAGCGAGGAGCAGAGGCGGCGCGCGCGCUUCUGCUUGCAUGACCUUCCUCGUCGCCCAUUGGCUCAGGCGUCCAAUUUGAAUUUAAGCCACUUACUACCGUACGGUCCUCGCCGAAGCCCCCCACCGCGCCUUUGUUGUGGUGAUGCUGUUGCUCAUAGAGAUAAGAAAGGGGGAAAACAACCCAGUUAAUCCAUUUCGUGAUCUUGAUGGGGGUUUCCCGAGUUUACGUUUGAGAACUGAGUUGUAAAUGCCUCCCAGGCCGGAAGUAAGAGCGGCUCACAGAAACCAGGAUUUAGACGGCGCUCGUUUCCACCCCAAGCAGAAAACGUCUACAGAAUCGGAAGCCGGUCCUACAUGUCACUCUAGCGAUUACAAGUCUAUGGCCGAAGAAAAGAUCCCGCCUGCCUUUUUCUUUCUCUCUCUGCUACGCUUCUGUUCCGUAUACUCCGACUAACCAAAGGGAGAGAAAAGCCAGCUGCGUAUAAAAUUUCCAGCAACUAUUUUUAUCUGUUUAGUUCUUACGAUCAGUUGCAACAUAUCGAAAAAGGAAUGUCCAAGGGCUACUGAUAGACUUCUAGGGAGGGCCUUUGAACUCCAGAACAGUUUCAAUUUGUGGCAAGAGUAUAAGCAAAAACAGCAAAGAAUCUAGUCACACCUUAAAUGCAAUGUAUCGUGAUAUAAGCUUUCAUGGCAUAGAGCCCACUGCAUCCUGCUUAGGAAGUUUACUCAGAAGCAAGUCCCGAUGACUUUAAUGGGAUCGACACUUCUCUAGCCAUGCAGUGUGUUUGCAUUUGUGCAACUCAAGUAGGACUUGCUUCCAAGUACAAUGGUGUUCACAUUUAAGUAAGAAUGCAUAGGAUUGCUGUUGUAGUUAAGUUACAGCUGGUUGUAAUUAUGUUUACUUAGAAGUAAAUAUUUGGUCAAGUCUCAUCCUAUGCACAUUCACUUAGGAGUAAGCAUGAUGAACAGUGCAUCGUCCUUCUGAGAGAAAAGGCUGUAAUUAUAUAAAUGUAUACUUUCCAUUGCUUUCCAUUUUUACAAAGAGCAGAGAAAUAAAAACCUCCCCUUGGGAAAUAAACCAGUA
Long non-coding RNA from Hemicordylus capensis (graceful crag lizard), 1588 nucleotides. RefSeq lists it as uncharacterized. The record is from RefSeq and is a predicted model, not a curated record. The transcript has 2 exons. NCBI's taxonomy places the organism in Eukaryota, Metazoa, Chordata, Lepidosauria, Squamata, Cordylidae.